This 467-nucleotide ribosomal RNA is filed under the name uncultured bacterium. RNAcentral's name for it is "partial 16S ribosomal RNA". It matches the Rfam family "Bacterial small subunit ribosomal RNA", at positions 28 to 507 of the family's 1533-position model. The record is from RNAcentral.
GAUGGACGCUGGCGGCGUGCUUAACACAUGCAAGUCGAACGAUGACGACCGAGCUUGCUCGGUCUGAUUAGUGGCGAACGGGUGAGUAACACGUGAGCAACCUGCCCUUCACUCUGGGAUAACCUCGGGAAAUCGGGGCUAAUACCGGAUACGAGCUCCUGUCGCAUGGCGGGUGUUGGAAAGUUUUUCGGUGAAGGAUGGGCUCGCGGCCUAUCAGUUUGUUGGUGAGGUAGUGGCUCACCAAGGCGAUGACGGGUAGCCGGCCUGAGAGGGCGACCGGCCACACUGGGACUGAGACACGGCCCAGACUCCUACGGGAGGCAGCAGUGGGGAAUAUUGCACAAUGGGCGAAAGCCUGAUGCAGCGACGCCGCGUGAGGGAUGACGGCCUUCGGGUUGUAAACCUCUUUCAGCAGGGAAGAAGCGAAAGUGACGGUACCUGCAGAAGAAGCGCCGGCUAACUACGUG